UUCAAAACCCAACACAUAAUAGUAACCAAAAAAAGGAAAUGCCUUGGUACUAAUUUUUUUAAAAUUAACUAGUAGCAUGCAAAGAAGAGGUUUCAACUACACAGAAUCGGUGCUACUUAAGUUGAAGGAUUAAGGAAUUUAUCUUGAUCCUUGCGAUAGAGAUCAAACAUUUCCUUUCGUAUCACCUCAAUCCUCUCAUCCAUAGAAUUUACCCAAAUCAUAAUGAACGCUACACGUUCCUGCAACCUUCUCAUUUGUUCAACUAGGUCAGUCAUUCUUUUGAAUAGUUGUUCGGUACCACUUGGAAUGCUAUCAGAACUUUCUUCAGUAGGCUGGACGUAAAUAUAAAAAAUAAUUGGUAGGGUUAAAUAUACAUGCAAAAAAUGAUAGGAUUACUACAAUGGAAGGUAGUUUCAACUCAUACCUUCAUAUCUUCAACAACUGCAACUACAAUAAAUUUCUUUUUUG
This 468-nucleotide long non-coding RNA is filed under the name Capsicum annuum. RNAcentral describes it as "long non-coding RNA (CANN_LNC012408)". The record is from RNAcentral. Lineage: Eukaryota; Viridiplantae; Streptophyta; Magnoliopsida; Solanales; Solanaceae.